This 372-nucleotide transfer-messenger RNA is filed under the name Chitinophagaceae. RNAcentral describes it as "Ferruginibacter sp003455235 Standard tmRNA". It matches the Rfam family "transfer-messenger RNA". Rfam says of the family: Bacterial tmRNA, also known as 10Sa RNA or SsrA, is named for its dual tRNA and mRNA-like properties. Its role is to liberate the mRNA from a stalled ribosome. To accomplish this part of the tmRNA is used as a reading frame that ends in a translation stop signal. The record is from RNAcentral. RNAcentral also lists the same sequence under 2 other names. Lineage: Bacteria; Pseudomonadati; Bacteroidota; Chitinophagia; Chitinophagales.
GGGGCUGACCGGUUUUGACAGCAUAGUUCUUUGUAAGUGUAAGCAUGUAGUGCGUUGCGUAAUUAGCACUUUAAUAUGAAUACGAAACUUUAAUUGGCAAUACUUCGUAUGCCAUGGCUGCUUAAUCGAUAGAUUAACAUCCAUUUGGGCCGCCGAACAGGUCAGUCCUGUUACCAUGUUCCGCCGCCGACUCAAAAACAAAACGGGAUGCUGCCCGGGAAUGAUGUGACCCUGGCUUAAGACCAUUCAUCUAAGGAUACAGUUGGUUGGUUAGGUUCCUGCUGUAUCCCGACAAACAAUAACUAAAUAAACAUGUAGAAAGCUUACGGCGGAUAUGUUUGGACCAGGGUUCGAUUCCCUGCAGCUCCACAC